GUUUUACUAUUCACGAAAAUUAGGAAAGAGUGUAUUUGGGGUUUAGGAAAAAGGUGAAGGGCGAAGACACGUUCUUCUCUCAAGUGCUGAAAAAAAGGAAAUAGCAGAAAGUUAUAUGGAUAACAAAUCACCGAGCAAUAAGGCAUCUGAGGAGCUGGCACGUGAGUUGCUUAUUGCUAUCUCUGAUUCUUUACCAGAUAAAACUCUGGAUUCCGAUUUUGUGCCCGAAAGCAAGGACGCAGACAGCUUUGCAAGACCAAACGGUGAUUGGGAUGACAAGUUUAGGUCUGAAUUGAUUUCAAUCUCCUAUGUUGAAUCUCCCGAUGUCAAAAUCUGAUAUAUUACGAGUCUAGACUGUUAGUAACUUAUGCUACCCUUCUGGUUUGUUAUGUGGAUGAAUUUCCGCUGUGCCAAUUGUUGUGAAUUGAUUAUACUAUGUGGGCUAUCUUGCAACCCACAUGUAGAUACUCUCACCAGUCACAUGCUUGGUUUUGUAUUCUAAAAAUGACUGAUAAAUACUUAAUUAGUACUCUGUUAUAUUUUUGUUCAUAGAAAAUUCAAUCUGGAGAAUCUUACUCGUA
Long non-coding RNA from Glycine soja, 581 nucleotides. RefSeq lists it as uncharacterized. Lineage: Eukaryota; Viridiplantae; Streptophyta; Magnoliopsida; Fabales; Fabaceae. The record is from RefSeq and is a predicted model, not a curated record. The transcript has 2 exons.